RNAcentral lists this ribosomal RNA (492 nucleotides) under uncultured bacterium. RNAcentral describes it as "partial 16S ribosomal RNA". It matches the Rfam family "Bacterial small subunit ribosomal RNA", at positions 29 to 507 of the family's 1533-position model. The record is from RNAcentral.
AGUGAACGCUGGCGGUAGGCCUAACACAUGCAAGUCGAACGGCAGCACAGUAAGAGCUUGCUCUUACGGGUGGCGAGUGGCGGACGGGUGAGGAAUACAUCGGAAUCUACUUUUUCGUGGGGGAUAACGUAGGGAAACUUACGCUAAUACCGCAUACGACCUACGGGUGAAAGCAGGGGAUCUUCGGACCUUGCUCGAUUGAAUGAGCCGCUGUCGGAUUAGCUAGUUGGCGGGGUAAAGGCCCACCAAGGCGACGACCCGUAGCUGGUCUGAGAGGAUGAUCAGCCACACUGGAACUGAGACACGGUCCAGACUCCUACGGGAGGCAGCAGUGGGGAAUAUUGGACAAUGGGCGCAAGCCUGAUCCAGCCAUACCGCGUGGGUGAAGAAGGCAUUCGGGUUGUAAAGCCCUUUUGUUGGGAAAGAAAAGCAGCAGGUUAAUACCCCGCUGUUCUGACGGUACCCAAAGAAUAAGCACCGGCUAACUUCGUG